RNAcentral lists this ribosomal RNA (489 nucleotides) under Streptomyces sp. CB02959. Its description in RNAcentral is "bacterial SSU rRNA". It matches the Rfam family "Bacterial small subunit ribosomal RNA", at positions 366 to 865 of the family's 1533-position model. Lineage: Bacteria; Bacillati; Actinomycetota; Actinomycetes; Kitasatosporales; Streptomycetaceae. The record is from RNAcentral.
GCACAAUGGGCGAAAGCCUGAUGCAGCGACGCCGCGUGAGGGAUGACGGCCUUCGGGUUGUAAACCUCUUUCAGCAGGGAAGAAGCGAAAGUGACGGUACCUGCAGAAGAAGCGCCGGCUAACUACGUGCCAGCAGCCGCGGUAAUACGUAGGGCGCGAGCGUUGUCCGGAAUUAUUGGGCGUAAAGAGCUCGUAGGCGGCUUGUCACGUCGGAUGUGAAAGCCCGGGGCUUAACCCCGGGUCUGCAUUCGAUACGGGCAGGCUAGAGUUCGGUAGGGGAGAUCGGAAUUCCUGGUGUAGCGGUGAAAUGCGCAGAUAUCAGGAGGAACACCGGUGGCGAAGGCGGAUCUCUGGGCCGAUACUGACGCUGAGGAGCGAAAGCGUGGGGAGCGAACAGGAUUAGAUACCCUGGUAGUCCACGCCGUAAACGUUGGGAACUAGGUGUGGGCGACAUUCCACGUCGUCCGUGCCGCAGCUAACGCAUUAAGU